AUUGAACGCUGGCGGCAGGCCUAACACAUGCAAGUCGGGCGGUAACAGGGAGAAGCUUGCUUCUCCGCUGACGAGCGGCGGACGGGUGAGUAAUGUAUGGGGAUCUGCCUGAUGGCGGGGGAUAACUACUGGAAACGGUAGCUAAUACCGCAUGACGUCUUCGGACCAAAGUGGGGGACCUUCGGGCCUCACGCCAUCAGAUGUGCCCAGAUGGGAUUAGCUAGUAGGUGGGGUAAUGGCUCACCUAGGCGACGAUCCCUAGCUGGUCUGAGAGGAUGACCAGCCACACUGGAACUGAGACACGGUCCAGACUCCUACGGGAGGCAGCAGUGGGGAAUAUUGCACAAUGGGCGCAAGCCUGAUGCAGCCAUGCCGCGUGUAUGAAGAAGGCCUUCGGGUUGUAAAGUACUUUCAGCGAGGAGGAAGGCAUUAAGGUUAAUAACCUUGGUGAUUGACGUUACUCGCAGAAGAAGCACCGGCUAACUCCGUGCCAGCCGCCGCGGUAAAAC
This 509-nucleotide ribosomal RNA is filed under the name uncultured bacterium. Its description in RNAcentral is "bacterial SSU rRNA". It matches the Rfam family "Bacterial small subunit ribosomal RNA", at positions 30 to 526 of the family's 1533-position model. The record is from RNAcentral.